Molecule: ribosomal RNA, 489 nt
Filed under: uncultured bacterium
Lineage: Bacteria
Description: partial 16S ribosomal RNA
Rfam family: Bacterial small subunit ribosomal RNA
Source: RNAcentral
UUGAACGCUGGCGGCAGGCCUAACACCUGCCCGUCGAACGGUAACAGGAAGAAGCUUGCUUCUUUGCUGACGAGUGGCGGACGGGUGAGUAAUGUCUGGGAAACUGCCUGAUGGAGGGGGAUAACUACUGGAAACGGUAGCUAAUACCGCAUAACGUCGCAAGACCAAAGAGGGGGACCUUCGGGCCUCUUGCCAUCGGAUGUGCCCAGAUGGGAUUAGCUAGUAGGUGGGGUAACGGCUCACCUAGGCGACGAUCCCUAGCUGGUCUGAGAGGAUGACCAGCCACACUGGAACUGAGACACGGUCCAGACUCCUACGGGAGGCAGCAGUGGGGAAUAUUGCACAAUGGGCGCAAGCCUGAUGCAGCCAUGCCGCGUGUAUGAAGAAGGCCUUCGGGUUGUAAAGUACUUUCAGCGGGGAGGAAGGGAGUAAAGUUAAUACCUUUGCUCAUUGACGUUACCCGCAGAAGAAGCACCGGCUAACUCCGUG